RNAcentral lists this ribosomal RNA (519 nucleotides) under uncultured bacterium. RNAcentral describes it as "bacterial SSU rRNA". It matches the Rfam family "Bacterial small subunit ribosomal RNA", at positions 8 to 561 of the family's 1533-position model. The record is from RNAcentral.
AGAGUUUGAUCCUGGGCUCAGGGUGAACGCUAGCGGCGCGCCUUAGGCAUGCAAGUCGAACGACCCGCUUCGGGCGGGAGUGGCAGACGGGUGAGUAACGCGUGAGAACGUACCCUUUAGUGGGGAAUAACCGCGGGAAACUGUGGCUAAUACCCCAUGUUAUCGCAAGAUCAAAGAGUGUAACUACUCGCUAAAGGAGCGGCUCGCGUCCUAUCAGCUUGUUGGUGAGGUAAUGGCUUACCAAGGCUACGACGGGUAGGAGGUCUGAGAGGAUGAUCUCCCACAAUGGUACUGAGACACGGACCAUACACCUACGGGUGGCAGCAACCGGGAAUCUUGCGCAAUGGGCGAAAGCCUGACGCAGCGACGCCGCGUGGAGGAUGAAGGCCUUCGGGUUGUAAACUCCUUUUAUUAGGGAAUAAAUUUUGACUGUACCUAAUGAAUUAAGGCCUGCUAACCACGUGCCAGCAGCCGCGGUGAUACGUGGGGCUCAAGCGUUACCCGGAAUUUACUGGGCGU